CCUAUUACUGCAAAUCUGUAUUUAUCUUGAUAGUGAAAGAAACUGCUUUAAUUAAUAAUUCUUCAACUUGAAUUCUUUAAACUAAAACUAUCUGAAUAUUUGUUUAUAGUCAAUUAGGGCGCCCACCCACGCUCUUCAAUUCCAUUAAAUUUCCUUGUACGUAUCCAUUUAUAUGAUUCAACCACAACUUAUUAUCUACUUAAAACCCAUAGAAACUGAACAAUCUAACCUCCAUUUGUUCUUCGAUAGCUCGGCGGUAGAGUGGAUAGCUAAUAAAGGAGCUCGUUUUGACCAUUCUGCCGUAUUUGAAAAUCACCUUUAAUCCCUUGGUUUAGUUCCAGUAUAAUUCUCUGUUCCAUAGCCCAGUGAGAAACCAACUUUCCUUCAGCGAUGAAGAUCAAAAUGCGUAACAAAAUUCGGCCAUUUGCUGGUGGAGAACACAGGAAGAAUUCGAAGUAAAUGGGCAUUUCAGAAUUGACAUUACUGAUUUCUCAAGUCUCACAAAUUUCUCAGAGAAAUGGAGAGGCUGGCUUUUGUUGCUGUUGAAGGGCUUGAGAUCUCCGGCAUAAUCUGAUAAGUUACUUGUCUGGCGACUUCUGGUUCCCGGUCGGAGGAAUCAAGAAAGAAGAUAUGGAAAUACCCGGUGUGGUUACAAUUCUUCUUGCAGGGUCUUCUGGUUCUGGAAAAGUUCUUUUGUCAACUUGAUGUACAGUAUUCUUGAUCGAUCUGGUCCCAUCCGUUUUGCUCAAACCUCAGGUAAAAAAAUUCCUUUAUAUUUUACUAUAAAGAAUCUAAUUGCAUUCCACCUAAUUGAUCUCAAGUCAUUAAGUCUCUCCACAAUCUGAUUUUAGUCGUGAAACGACCUAGAUAGAGCUAAGCUACAUGUAAUAGAAGGUUGGUUCUAUAUGUCACUUAGUUGCGAAUAUAGACCAAGUAAAUGUCGAAACUGGGGUUAGAUGUAAGAACGAUGCUAUGUGUACACAAUGAUGUACAUAAAAUAUUACACCCCUCUCACAUGGAAGGGGUCCACAUACAAUAAAAUAUUCGUGACCCCCUCCAUGUGAAAGGGUGUAAUCCAUUCCGUACACCAUGAGGUGUACAUAUAGUAUUAUUAUAAAUGUAACGACUCUGAUGUCAUCUCGGGUAUUUAAGUUUAGGGUGACUUGUAAGUUAUAAGCCUACAAGUUAUAACCACCUAAGCAUCCUCUACCCUAGUUUUAGGGUGCCUUCUACCCUUUAGUCAUGUGUUUUAUUAUAACUGUGAAUUGUAAUUUUUUUAUAUUGCUUGAAAUUAGGUGAAUCUUCAAAUUUUACGCCAAUGAUUCUAGAGGAACACGGUGUUCUAAGAUCACCAAGAAGUGGGUUUUGUAUAUAUGAUAUGAGGGGCUUAAAUCAAAACCAAAUGAACGAUGGAUAAGAGGAGGUUUCAACAUGGAUGUUGAUCGGUGUUUGCCAUAACCAGCCUUGUUACUGACCUGGUGAUGAAAUUGGUGGAUCAUUCGAUCUGUCCAAUUCAACGACUGGAUAGUUAUGUUCUUUUCAUGGAUCAUGUGGUGCAUUGCUUCCUUCUUUUCUAUCCUUGCAAAUUUCUUCUUAAAAUUUGGUCAUCACUAGAAUCUCAUGUUGAAGGAUUUCAUGGCUAGUUCUUGGGUGUCUAUGUUCGAUUCUGCAUCAUUUGUAGGGUCAAAUACACUCUCGGUUAAUAGACUCUUGACGAAGUUCCAUGUAGUAACUCAACUUUAUUUUGUUUCAAGUUGCUCGUCGAAAUUACUCUUUUUAUGAUUAGUUUACUU
This 1793-nucleotide long non-coding RNA is filed under the name Olea europaea subsp. europaea. The record is from RNAcentral. Lineage: Eukaryota; Viridiplantae; Streptophyta; Magnoliopsida; Lamiales; Oleaceae.